GUUUGGCUUAAGGAGCCAAAACUGUCUGUACCGAUCUUAAAAAUUCUCCUAACCUUUUCUUGGCAUUCUAAUGCUACUUAGGGCUCCGUAACUCUUCUCUGACAUCCCAGAAAUUAUUUCACGGGAUUCCCCUCGGGUUUAGGGUUACUAGCUGUCUUCACCGCUACUUCCCAUUAAGGUCACCCAUCACUAGGACACCGGGUCAUUUAACUUUGUUGUAUUUUAU
This 226-nucleotide unclassified non-coding RNA is filed under the name Hevea brasiliensis (rubber tree). The record is from RNAcentral. Lineage: Eukaryota; Viridiplantae; Streptophyta; Magnoliopsida; Malpighiales; Euphorbiaceae.